Molecule: long non-coding RNA, 238 nt
Organism: Rana temporaria (common frog)
Lineage: Eukaryota; Metazoa; Chordata; Amphibia; Anura; Ranidae
Exons: 2
Source: RefSeq, a predicted model, not a curated record
CGCCCCGUUGUGCUGGACGGCGUAGAGCGAAGUGGGAAUGACACUGUGCUCCCAGAACUCCCAGAUCAUAUUGCGGCGCCGGGGAAAGGAGUAGCAACGCCUACUCCCGUGGGAGUGAAAACCCAGAAGUCGCAAUUGAACCAGCUGUACUACGGUGCAGCGGGCGGCGUUAUUCGCGAUGGAUUUACAUCGAGGGACACUGUUGUUUUAUUUUUUAAUAAAGGAAUUGUGAAAACUG